RNAcentral lists this transfer RNA (73 nucleotides) under Fidelibacterota bacterium. Its description in RNAcentral is "tRNA-Thr". It matches the Rfam family "tRNA". Rfam says of the family: Transfer RNA (tRNA) molecules are approximately 80 nucleotides in length. Their secondary structure includes four short double-helical elements and three loops (D, anti-codon, and T loops). Further hydrogen bonds mediate the characteristic L-shaped molecular structure. tRNAs have two regions of fundamental functional importance: the anti-codon, which is responsible for specific mRNA codon recognition, and the 3' end, to which the tRNAs corresponding amino acid is attached (by aminoacyl-tRNA synthetases). tRNAs cope with the degeneracy of the genetic code in two manners: having more than one tRNA (with a specific anti-codon) for a particular amino acid; and 'wobble' base-pairing, i.e. permitting non-standard base-pairing at the 3rd anti-codon position. The record is from RNAcentral. Lineage: Bacteria; Pseudomonadati; Fidelibacterota. RNAcentral also lists the same sequence under 2 other names.
GCCUGCGUAGCUCAGUAGGUAGAGCACUUCCUUGGUAAGGAAGAGGUCACCGGUUCAAAUCCGGUCGUAGGCU